GCAAGCGUUGUCCGGAAUUAUUGGGCGUAAAGAGCUCGUAGGCGGUCUGUUGCGUCCGCUGUGAAAACUCAGGGCUUAACCCCGAGCCUGCAGUGGAUACGGGCAGACUAGAGGUAGGUAGGGGAGAAUGGAAUUCCCGGUGUAGCGGUGAAAUGCGCAGAUAUCGGGAGGAACACCGGUGGCGAAGGCGGUUCUCUGGGCCUUACCUGACGCUGAGGAGCGAAAGCGUGGGGAGCGAACAGG
This 243-nucleotide ribosomal RNA is filed under the name uncultured bacterium. Its description in RNAcentral is "partial 16S ribosomal RNA". It matches the Rfam family "Bacterial small subunit ribosomal RNA", at positions 534 to 776 of the family's 1533-position model. The record is from RNAcentral.